This 357-nucleotide ribosomal RNA is filed under the name uncultured soil bacterium. Its description in RNAcentral is "bacterial SSU rRNA". It matches the Rfam family "Bacterial small subunit ribosomal RNA", at positions 27 to 392 of the family's 1533-position model. The record is from RNAcentral.
GAUUGAACGCUGGCGGCAUGCCUUACACAUGCAAGUCGAACGGUAGAGUAGCAAUACUCGAGAGUGGCGAACGGGUGAGUAAUAUAUCGGAACGUGCCCAGUCGUGGGGGAUAACGUAGAGAAAUUUACGCUAAUACCGCAUACGAUCUAAGGAUGAAAGCGGGGGAUCGCAAGACCUCGCGCGAUUGGAGCGGCUGAUAUCAGAUUAGGUUGUUGGUGAGGUAAAAGCUCACCAAGCCGACGAUCUGUAGCUGGUUUGAGAGAACGACCAGCCACACUGGGACUGAGACACGGCCCAGACUCCUACGGGAGGCAGCAGUGGGGAAUUUGGGACAAUGGGCGAAAGCCUGAUCCAGC